GAUGAACGCUGGCGGCGUGCCUAAUACAUGCAAGUCGAGCGAACAGACGAGGAGCUUGCUCCUCUGACGUUAGCGGCGGACGGGUGAGUAACACGUGGAUAACCUACCUAUAAGACUGGGAUAACUUCGGGAAACCGGAGCUAAUACCGGAUAAUAUAUUGAACCGCAUGGUUCAAUAGUGAAAGACGGUUUUGCUGUCACUUAUAGAUGGAUCCGCGCCGCAUUAGCUAGUUGGUAAGGUAACGGCUUACCAAGGCAACGAUGAGUAGCCGACCUGAGAGGGUGAUCGGCCACACUGGAACUGAGACACGGUCCAGACUCCUACGGGAGGCAGCAGUAGGGAAUCUUGCGCAAUGGGCGAAAGCCUGACGGAGCAACGCCGCGUGAGUGAUGAAGGUCUUCGGAUCGUAAAGCUCUGUUAUUAGGGAAGAACAAAUGUGUAAGUAACUAUGCACGUCUUGACGGUACCUAAUCAGAAAGCCACGGCUAACUACGUG
Molecule: ribosomal RNA, 497 nt
Filed under: uncultured bacterium
Lineage: Bacteria
Description: partial 16S ribosomal RNA
Rfam family: Bacterial small subunit ribosomal RNA
Source: RNAcentral